AGGAAAUAGUGAACGCUUGGUGUAUCCUAAACCAUGUAACAUGAGUCUAAUGUAGGAGAAUAGAAUGUCCCAAUUUAGUAGGUACAUCCACCCAUCCCUCAAAAUGGGGUGGCAUAACACAUCAACCUUUUAGCAGGAGGAUGCAGGGUUUCAAUCAACAGACCAGUAGUAUUGGCAUGUUAACAUAAAUAAAAGUUGGAUGUUCCAUAUUCAACUGAAGGCCAGUUUUAACUCUACAGGAUGGCUUAAAUGCACAAAAGCUGAGGCU
Molecule: unclassified non-coding RNA, 268 nt
Filed under: Hevea brasiliensis (rubber tree)
Lineage: Eukaryota; Viridiplantae; Streptophyta; Magnoliopsida; Malpighiales; Euphorbiaceae
Source: RNAcentral